This 86-nucleotide transfer RNA is filed under the name Candidatus Phycorickettsia trachydisci. RNAcentral's name for it is "tRNA-Leu". It matches the Rfam family "tRNA". From Rfam's summary of the family: Transfer RNA (tRNA) molecules are approximately 80 nucleotides in length. The record is from RNAcentral. Lineage: Bacteria; Pseudomonadati; Pseudomonadota; Alphaproteobacteria; Rickettsiales; Rickettsiaceae.
GCGGUCGUGGCGAAAAGGUAGACGCGCAGCACUGAGGGUGCCGUUCCUUAACGGGAGUGGAAGUUCAAAUCUUCUCGACCGCACCA